Molecule: ribosomal RNA, 406 nt
Filed under: uncultured bacterium
Lineage: Bacteria
Description: partial 16S ribosomal RNA
Rfam family: Bacterial small subunit ribosomal RNA
Source: RNAcentral
GACGAACGCUGGCGGCAGGCCUAACACAUGCAAGUCGAACGAGUGGCGGACGGGUGAGUAAUGUCUGGGAACCUGCCUGAUGGAGGGGGAUAACUACUGGAACCGGUAGCUAAUACCGCAUACCAUCGGAUGUGCCCAGAUGGGAUUAGCUAGUCGGUGGGGUAACGGCUCACCUAGGCGACGAUCCCUAGCUGGGCUGAGAGGAUGACCGGCCACACUGGGACUGAGACACGGUCCAGACUCCUACGGGAGGCAGCAGUGGGGAAUCUUGCGCAAUGGGCGCAAGCCUGAUGCAGCCACGCCGCGUGUAUGAAGAAGGUCUUCGGGUUGUAAAGCACUUUCAUCGGGGAAGCGUUACCCACAGAAGAAGCACCGGCUAACUCCGUGCCAGCAGCCGCGGUAAUUC